AUCUGUUCUGCUGGCACAUGGAUAAUGUGGGAAGGCCUGUCACCAUGGUGAUGAACUGCAUUGCUUUCUUGUUCAUAAAUGGCAUCGCGUUCAGGCUGAGGAAGACUGAGGAACCUUCGGAUCAUGGAGAGAUUCUCCCAGAGGGUCCUGUUCUCUGGUGAGGGAUCUUCUUUCCAACGUAACAGCUCACAGAGCCAUCCCUGGCUUUUGGUUGCUG
RNAcentral lists this long non-coding RNA (217 nucleotides) under Gallus gallus (chicken). Lineage: Eukaryota; Metazoa; Chordata; Aves; Galliformes; Phasianidae. The record is from RNAcentral.